AUUCUGACUCCAGGAAGUAGAGACCGUACCCACCUGAGAGCGCUUGGAAAGCCAAAAUAGGUGCUUUGAAGAAAGUGCAAAUCUACAACAGAGGUCAAAGUUGGAAUUUGGAAACGGACUGCAAAGAACCAUGAGGGAAUAUUUUGAUUAC
This 151-nucleotide long non-coding RNA is filed under the name Sus scrofa (pig). RNAcentral describes it as "lncRNA (ENSSSCG00065030674.1)". Lineage: Eukaryota; Metazoa; Chordata; Mammalia; Artiodactyla; Suidae. The record is from RNAcentral.